ACUGAUAAAAUCAGAAAAAAACACCCGUGAAAAUUUUGUUUUUUUACGGGCAACAACACUCACGUGUGAUAGCUACAAAGGUGGCAAUAUCCCGGCAUUUGGCUCCAGCUCUCAAGUUUGGUUUAAAAAAAUGGAGCAACAAUUGACAACACUUGGGCAAGGUUUUGUUAAGGCUUCUCCCAAGCUUAUGCCAAGUUAGACCCAAUUCUUGCGAAUUUCUUAAC
This is a non-coding RNA of Caenorhabditis elegans, 224 nucleotides long. NCBI's taxonomy places the organism in Eukaryota, Metazoa, Nematoda, Chromadorea, Rhabditida, Rhabditidae. The record is from Ensembl.